CCUACGGGGGGCUGCAGUGAGGAAUAUUGGUCAAUGGACGCAAGUCUGAACCAGCCAUGCCGCGUGCAGGAAGACGGCUCUAUGAGUUGUAAACUGCUUUUGUACGAGGGUAAACGCAGAUACGCGUAUCUGUCUGAAAGUAUCGUACGAAUAAGGAUCGGCUAACUCCGUGCCAGCAGCCGCGGUAAUACGGAGGAUUCAAGCGUUAUCCGGAUUUAUUGGGUUUAAAGGGUGCGUAGGCGGUCGGAUAAGUUAGAGGUGAAAUCCCGAGGCUCAACGUCGGAAUUGCCGCUGAUACUGUUCGGCUAGAGAGUAGUUGCGGUAGGCGGAAUGUGUGGUGUAGCGGUGAAAUGCUUAGAGAUCAUGCAGAACACCGAUUGCGAAGGCAGCUUACCGGGCUACUUCUGACGUUGAGGCACGAAAGCGUGGGGAGCGAACAGGAUUAGAUACCCUAGUAGUC
Molecule: ribosomal RNA, 460 nt
Filed under: uncultured bacterium
Lineage: Bacteria
Description: partial 16S ribosomal RNA
Rfam family: Bacterial small subunit ribosomal RNA
Source: RNAcentral